GACGAACGCUGGCGGCGUGCUUAACACAUGCAAGUCGAACGGAAAGGCCCUGCUUUUGUGGGGUGCUCGAGUGGCGAACGGGUGAGUAACACGUGAGUAACCUGCCCUUGACUUUGGGAUAACUUCAGGAAACUGGGGCUAAUACCGGAUAGGAGCUCCUGCUGCAUGGUGGGGGUUGGAAAGUUUCGGCGGUUGGGGAUGGACUCGCGGCUUAUCAGCUUGUUGGUGGGGUAGUGGCUUACCAAGGCUUUGACGGGUAGCCGGCCUGAGAGGGUGACCGGCCAGAGUGGGACUGAGAUACGGCCCAGACUGCUACGGGAGGCAGCAGCGGGGAGUAGUGCACAAUGGGCGGCAGCCUGAUGCAGCAACGCCGCGUGCGGGAUGACGGCGUUCGGGUUGUAAACCGCUUUCGCCUGUGACGAAGCGUGAGUGACGGUAAUGGGUAAAGAAGCACCGGCUAACUACGU
Molecule: ribosomal RNA, 467 nt
Filed under: uncultured bacterium
Lineage: Bacteria
Description: partial 16S ribosomal RNA
Rfam family: Bacterial small subunit ribosomal RNA
Source: RNAcentral